UGAACAAAUAUUUCUGAUGCAGAGAAUUCACUUGUCAACUUGGAGGAGCCCCGAGAGGAAAUUUCCAAAGCAGAUCUGUCGGAGAUAAUGACACCGCACAAGGAAGCCCUCCUUAGGAGGAAUGUCUUCAGAAGACGUGGAGUGUUUGAAAACACGAUGCUUCUGUGUGUUCCUGUUGAUGAGUUAAAAUUCAAGCAGCCGUGGCUGAAUUUUUAAUCUGUGAGCUGUAACAGGUGAAGCUCAAGGAGGCGACAUUCAGGACUUCAUUUGCUCCCACCUUGCAGACAGACUUAAAUGUUAAGCUUGUUUUCCUACCAGAUGGAGAAUAGAUGCCCCUAUUUCAGCAGAAGCAUCAGUCAACAGAGGGUUUGGUUCUUUUCAGAGGCUGAAUCUUUGGAAAAAUAUACUGAGGAUGGUGCAUAAAAGUGGGGGAUGUGACAGGUACGUGCUGGAGGUGAAUGCUGAGAGUUUGGAAAUGCAAACAGACUUCAGGAUUUGCCAGUCCUCUUCCUCCCCCAACACCCAGAAUAUUGCAUUUGUUGGUUGGUCUUCAUUUUUAAAUCAUCCAGUGCUCUGCUGUCAAGACACAUGUGUUGUUUUCAUAGAGUUGGCACCAGAAGUUAUUAUUUUUUUCCAGCUCAAUUUAGAGAAGGGUAACAAAUAUUCUGGGUUUGCUCUGAAAUCAUUACGGGAGGAGC
Molecule: long non-coding RNA, 698 nt
Organism: Pipra filicauda (Wire-tailed manakin)
Lineage: Eukaryota; Metazoa; Chordata; Aves; Passeriformes; Pipridae
Exons: 3
Source: RefSeq, a predicted model, not a curated record